CGGCUCAGUAACACGUGGAUAACCUACCCUUGAGAUGGGAAUAAACCCGGGAAACUGGGUAUAAUACCCGAUAGAUCUCGACUGCUGGAAUGCAUCGAGAUCCAAAGCUCCGGCGCUCAAGGAUGGAUCUGCGGCCUAUCAGGUAGUAGUGGGUGUAGCGUACCUACUAGCCUACGACGGGUACGGGUUGUGAGAGCAAGAGCCCGGAGAUGGAUUCUGAGACACGAAUCCAGGCCCUACGGGGUGCAGCAGGCGCGAAAACCUUACAAUGCUGGAAACAGCGAUAAGGGGACCUCGAGUGCCAGGUUACAAAUCUGGCUGUCGUGAUGCCUAAAAAGCAUUGCAUAGCAAGGGCCGGGCAAGACCGGUGCCAGCCGCCGCGGUAACACCGGCGGCUCGAGUGGUAACCGUUAUUAUUGGGUCUAAAGGGUCUGUAGCCGGCCGGGUAAGUCUCUUGGGAAAUCUGGCAGCUUAACUGUCAGGCUUUCAGGAGAUACUGUCUGGCUCGAGGCCGGGAGAGGUGAGAGGUACUUCAGGGGUAGGGGUGAAAUCUUGUAAUCCUUGAAGGACCACCAGUGGCGAAGGCGUCUCACCAGAACGGACCUGACGGCAAGGGACGAAAGCUAGGGGCACGAACCGGAUUAGAUACCCGGGUAGUCCUAGCCGUAAACGAUACUCGCUAGGUGUC
This 688-nucleotide ribosomal RNA is filed under the name uncultured Methanosaeta sp. RNAcentral's name for it is "bacterial SSU rRNA". It matches the Rfam family "Archaeal small subunit ribosomal RNA", at positions 83 to 775 of the family's 1478-position model. Lineage: Archaea; Methanobacteriati; Methanobacteriota; Methanomicrobia; Methanotrichales; Methanotrichaceae. The record is from RNAcentral.